UACGGAAGGCAGCAGUGAGGAAUAUUGGACAAUGGGUGGAAGCCUGAUCCAGCCAUCCCGCGUGAAGGAAUAAGGGCCUAUGGCUUGUAAACUUCUUUUGUACAGGGAUAAACCUACCCUCGUGAGGGUAGCUGAAGGUACUGUACGAAUAAGCACCGGCUAACUCCGUGCCAGCAGCCGCGGUAAUACGGAGGGUGCAAGCGUUAUCCGGGAUUUAUUGGGUUUAAAGGGUCCGUAGGCGGGCUUAUAAGUCAGUGGUGAAAGCCGGCAGCUUAACUGUCGAACUGCCAUUGAUACUGUAAGUCUUGAGUAUAUUUUGAGGUAGCUGGAAUAAGUAGUGUAGCGGUGAAAUGCAUAGAUAUUACUUAGAACACCAAUUGCGAAGGCAGGUUACCAAGUUAUAAACUGACGCUGAUGGACGAAAGCGUGGGGAGCGAACAGGGAUUAGAUACC
This 453-nucleotide ribosomal RNA is filed under the name uncultured bacterium. Its description in RNAcentral is "bacterial SSU rRNA". It matches the Rfam family "Bacterial small subunit ribosomal RNA", at positions 340 to 786 of the family's 1533-position model. The record is from RNAcentral.